This 207-nucleotide ribosomal RNA is filed under the name uncultured bacterium. Its description in RNAcentral is "partial 16S ribosomal RNA". It matches the Rfam family "Bacterial small subunit ribosomal RNA", at positions 568 to 774 of the family's 1533-position model. The record is from RNAcentral.
CACGUAGGCGGACCAGAAAGUUGGAGGUGAAAUCCCAGGGCUCAACCUUGGAACUGCCUUCAAAACUAUUGGUCUGGAGUUCGAGAGAGGUGAGUGGAAUUCCGAGUGUAGAGGUGAAAUUCGUAGAUAUUCGGAGGAACACCAGUGGCGAAGGCGGCUCGCUGGCUCGAUACUGACGCUGAGGUGCGAAAGCGUGGGGAGCAAACA